RNAcentral lists this ribosomal RNA (495 nucleotides) under uncultured bacterium. RNAcentral's name for it is "partial 16S ribosomal RNA". It matches the Rfam family "Bacterial small subunit ribosomal RNA", at positions 28 to 507 of the family's 1533-position model. The record is from RNAcentral.
GAUGAACGCUGGCGGCGUGCCUAAUACAUGCCAGUAGAACGCUGAAGGAGGAGCUUGCUCUUCUGGAUGAGUUGCGAACGGGUGAGUAACGCGUAGGUAACCUGCCUGGUAGCGGGGGAUAACUAUUGGAAACGAUAGCUAAUACCGCAUGACAACAGUUAUUGCAUGAUAACUGUUUAAAAGGGGCAACUGCUCCACUACCAGAUGGACCUGCGUUGUAUUAGCUAGUUGGUGAGGUAACGGCUCACCAAGGCGACGAUACAUAGCCGACCUGAGAGGGUGAUCGGCCACACUGGGACUGAGACACGGCCCAGACUCCUACGGGAGGCAGCAGUAGGGAAUCUUCGGCAAUGGACGGAAGUCUGACCGAGCAACGCCGCGUGAGUGAAGAAGGGUUUCGGAUCGUAAAGCUCUGUUGUAAGAGAAGAACGAGGGUGAGAGUGGAAAGUUCACACUGUGACGGUAUCUUACCAGAAAGGGACGGCUAACUACGUG